GUCUGGUUGCCAGGCAGUGUAGUUAGCUGAUUGUGCGAGUGGGUAAUCACUAACCACACAGCCAGGUGAACUGA
Molecule: microRNA precursor, 74 nt
Filed under: Lepisosteus oculatus (spotted gar)
Lineage: Eukaryota; Metazoa; Chordata; Actinopteri; Semionotiformes; Lepisosteidae
Description: microRNA 34c (ENSLOCG00000018887.1)
Rfam family: mir-34 microRNA precursor family
About the family: Human mir-34a was discovered computationally and later experimentally verified.
Source: RNAcentral